GAUGAACGCUGGCGGCGUGCUUAACACAUGCAAGUCGAACGGAAAGGCCCAAGCUUGCUUGGGUACUCGAGUGGCGAACGGGUGAGUAACACGUGGGUGAUCUGCCCUGCACUUCGGGAUAAGCCGGGGAAACUGGGUCUAAUACCGGAUAGGACCACAUUUUGGAUGGUGUGGUGGAAAGUUUUUCGGUGUGGGAUGAGCUCGCGGCCUAUCAGCUUGUUGGUGGGGUAAUGGCCUACCAAGGCGUCGACGGGUAGCCGGCCUGAGAGGGUGUACGGCCACAUUGGGACUGAGAUACGGCCCAGACUCCUACGGGAGGCAGCAGUGGGGAAUAUUGCACAAUGGGCGCAAGCCUGAUGCAGCGACGCCGCGUGGGGGAUGACGGCCUUCGGGUUGUAAACUCCUUUCGCUAGGGACGAAGCGUUAUGUGACGGUACCUGGAGAAGAAGCACCGGCUAACUACGUG
RNAcentral lists this ribosomal RNA (466 nucleotides) under uncultured bacterium. Its description in RNAcentral is "partial 16S ribosomal RNA". It matches the Rfam family "Bacterial small subunit ribosomal RNA", at positions 28 to 507 of the family's 1533-position model. The record is from RNAcentral.